GUAUGCAUAUCGGAUGUUAUUUAUUACAGCCAUCAAUUAAGCUAUGGAUACAGGUGCCGAAAAGAAUGUACUGUACACCUCUACCACUACCACCCCCGUAGCCGUAGUCAUUGGAGGCAACAACCAUGCAUGGCCGACAAAGGAAGGCGCAUCUAGAUCUUAAGCUUAAAAGUGCAGGAAUUGGAGCGGAUGCUCAGCUGCGUGCCUGCCUGGAUAUUGUCCACCACCAGGUUGCAGUUUGCCUUGCCCGUCAUCGUCCACAGCCUGACGGCGCCGAACUUGAUGCGGAUGGGCACGCGGGCCCGCACGGUGAGCGGCACGAACCCGGCCGCCCGCUGCUGCAGCAGCUGCGCCGCGACGGCGCUGUCGAGCCGCGUCUCCCCCGCGAGCGAGAUGCGCGGGUGCACGGUGGUGCGGUGGCCCUGGUACAGCGCCGGGAAGGCGCCGCUGCACAGCACGGUGCCGUUGAAGGACGCCGUCACGUCGCCGCCGUCGUAGUAGAUCCCGAUGCGGCGGUUCGGGUUGUCGGCCGUCACGUCCACGUCGAACGCGUCGGUCACCGUGGCCGACGUGCCGUUCACGUCGAAGCGGGUCACCGUCAGGCGGUCCACGUGGAACGUCGGGAUCUUGGGCCGGAACACCAGGUACAGGAUCCCCGCGGUGGCGCCCAGCGCAACGGCGAGCAAAACGAGGGCGAGGACGGUGUAGCACACGCACCGGCAGCAGCGGCUGCGCUUGCGCCGCGACGGCGGGGGCGGGGGCGGGGGCGGCGGCGCCGGGGCAGGGGCUGUCACCGGCAGCUGGUCGUGGCUGGGUUUCUUGCCGCUCCUCGACGCCUGCUCCGGCGGCGCGGACGGCGGCGGCGGCGAGCCCGCGCUCACUGGGUGGAUCCUGUGGUAGUCUGCCAUGCUCGUAUCGUACGUGUGCACGCGCUCCUCUCAAACCCGCGGCGCGCGCGGUCCUGUACGAAAAAUGCACGAACGCAAGCAGCCGCUGCACGACUCGAUCGCUUGAGCUAUAAAUGUCGUCUCGUCUCG
Molecule: unclassified non-coding RNA, 1037 nt
Filed under: Zea mays
Lineage: Eukaryota; Viridiplantae; Streptophyta; Magnoliopsida; Poales; Poaceae
Description: misc RNA Zm00001eb066200
Source: RNAcentral